CGAAGGGGGCUAGCGUUGUUCGGAAUUACUGGGCGUAAAGCGCGUGUAGGCGGGUCGUUAAGUCGGGGGUGAAAGCCCAGAGCUCAACUCUGGAACUGCCUUCGAUACUGGCGACCUGGACCCAAGUAGAGGCAAGUGGAAUUGCGAGUGUAGAGGUGAAAUUCGUAGAUAUUCGCAGGAACACCAGUGGCGAAGGCGACUUGCUGGACUUGUGGUGACGCUGAGACGCGAAAGCGUGGGUAGCAAACAGGAUUAGAUACCCUGGUAGUCCACGCCGUAAACGAUGAGAGCUAGUUGUCAGUAGGCAUGCCUAUUGGUGACGCAGCUAACGCAUUAAGCUCUCCGCCUGGGGAGUACGGCCGCAAGGUUA
This 370-nucleotide ribosomal RNA is filed under the name uncultured organism. RNAcentral describes it as "bacterial SSU rRNA". It matches the Rfam family "Bacterial small subunit ribosomal RNA", at positions 526 to 896 of the family's 1533-position model. The record is from RNAcentral.